This 253-nucleotide ribosomal RNA is filed under the name uncultured bacterium. RNAcentral describes it as "partial 16S ribosomal RNA". It matches the Rfam family "Bacterial small subunit ribosomal RNA", at positions 524 to 776 of the family's 1533-position model. The record is from RNAcentral.
UACGUAGGGGGCAAGCGUUGUCCGGAUUUACUGGGCGUAAAGAGCGCGUAGGCGGACGUUUAAGUGUGGCCUGAAAGCCCCCGGCUCAACCGGGGAUCCGGGUUGCAAACUGGACGUCUUGAGGGGGAUAGGGGAAGGUGGAAUUCCUGGUGUAGCGGUGGAAUGCGCAGAUAUCAAGAGGAACACCGAUGGCGAAGGCAGCUCGCUGGGACGGUACUGACGCUGAGGCGCGAAAGCGUGGGGAGCGAACAGG